GCAGUAGCCGCGGGAAUACGUAGGUGGCAAGCGUUGUCCGGAAUUAUUGGGCGUAAAGCGCGCGCAGGUGGUUUAAUAAGUCCGAUGUGAAAGCCCACGGCUCAACCGUGGAGGGUCAUUGGAAACUGUUAAACUUGAGUGCAGGAGAGAAAAGUGGAAUUCCUAGUGAAGCGGUGAAAUGCGUAGAGAUUAGGAGGAACACCAGUGGCGAAGGCGGCUUUUUGGCCUGUAACUGACACUGAGGCGCGAAAGCGUGGGGAGCAAACAGGAUUAGAUACCCGAGUAGUCCCUGUCUCUUAUAC
RNAcentral lists this ribosomal RNA (302 nucleotides) under uncultured bacterium. RNAcentral describes it as "partial 16S ribosomal RNA". It matches the Rfam family "Bacterial small subunit ribosomal RNA", at positions 508 to 807 of the family's 1533-position model. The record is from RNAcentral.